RNAcentral lists this transfer RNA (75 nucleotides) under Pteropus alecto (black flying fox). It matches the Rfam family "tRNA". From Rfam's summary of the family: Transfer RNA (tRNA) molecules are approximately 80 nucleotides in length. Their secondary structure includes four short double-helical elements and three loops (D, anti-codon, and T loops). The record is from Rfam by way of RNAcentral. Lineage: Eukaryota; Metazoa; Chordata; Mammalia; Chiroptera; Pteropodidae.
GGCUCCAUAGAGUAGUGGUUAGCACGUCUGUUUUACAUGCAGAAGGUCCUGGGCAUCAUGCCCCAGAUGGAGCCA